CGAACGGGUGAGUAACGCGUGAGGAACCUGCCACAAAGAGGGGGACAACAGUUGGAAACGACUGCUAAUACCGCAUAAGCCCACGGCUCGGCAUCGAGCAGAGGGAAAAGGAGCAAUCCGCUUUGAGAUGGCCUCGCGUCCGAUUAGCUAGUUGGUGAGGUAACGGCCCACCAAGGCGACGAUCGGUAGCCGGACUGGGAGGUUGAACGGCCACAUUGGGACUGAGACACGGCCCAG
This 237-nucleotide ribosomal RNA is filed under the name uncultured bacterium. RNAcentral describes it as "partial 16S ribosomal RNA". It matches the Rfam family "Bacterial small subunit ribosomal RNA", at positions 99 to 334 of the family's 1533-position model. The record is from RNAcentral.